This 459-nucleotide ribosomal RNA is filed under the name uncultured bacterium. Its description in RNAcentral is "bacterial SSU rRNA". It matches the Rfam family "Bacterial small subunit ribosomal RNA", at positions 8 to 496 of the family's 1533-position model. The record is from RNAcentral.
AGAGUUUGAUCAUGGCUCAGGAUGAACGCUGGCGGCGUGCCUAACACAUGCAAGUCGAGCGAACUCUCCGGAGUGAGCGGCGGACGGGUGAGUAACGCGUGGGUAACCUGCCCUGUACACAUGGAUAACAUACCGAAAGGUAUGCUAAUACAAGAUAAAAUAUAUUUAUCGCAUGAUAGAUAUAUCAAAGCGUUAGCGGUACAGGAUGGACCCGCGUCUGAUUAGCUAGUUGGUAAGGUAAAGGCUUACCAAGGCGACGAUCAGUAGCCGACCUGAGAGGGUGAUCGGCCACAUUGGAACUGAGACACGGUCCAAACUCCUACGGGAGGCAGCAGUGGGGAAUAUUGCACAAUGGGCGAAAGCCUGAUGCAGCAACGCCGCGUGAGCGAUGAAGGCCUUCGGGUCGUAAAGCUCUGUCCUCAAGGAAGAUAAUGACGGUACUUGAGGAGGAAGCCCCGG